Molecule: ribosomal RNA, 448 nt
Filed under: uncultured bacterium
Lineage: Bacteria
Description: bacterial SSU rRNA
Rfam family: Bacterial small subunit ribosomal RNA
Source: RNAcentral
AGCGAACGCUGGCGGCAGGCUUAACACAUGCAAGUCGAGCGGGCGUAGCAAUACGUCAGCGGCAGACGGGUGAGUAACGCGUGGGAACGUACCUUUUGGUUCGGAACAACACAGGGAAACUUGUGCUAAUACCGGAUAAGCCCUUACGGGGAAAGAUUUAUCGCCGAAAGAUCGGCCCGCGUCUGAUUAGCUAGUUGGUGAGGUAACGGCUCACCAAGGCGACGAUCAGUAGCUGGUCUGAGAGGAUGAUCAGCCACAUUGGGACUGAGAUACGGCCCAGACUCCUACGGGAGGCAGCAGUGGGGAAUAUUGGACAAUGGGGGCAACCCUGAUCCAGCAAUGCCGCGUGAGUGAUGAAGGCCUCGGUUGUAAGCUCUUUGUCCAGGGACGAUGAUGACGGUACCUGGAGAAUAAGCCCCGGCUAACUUCGUGCCAGCAGCCGCGGUAA